Molecule: regulatory RNA element, 54 nt
Organism: Williamsia sp. Leaf354
Lineage: Bacteria; Bacillati; Actinomycetota; Actinomycetes; Mycobacteriales; Nocardiaceae
Rfam family: L31-Actinobacteria ribosomal protein leader
Source: Rfam
CCGGUUCCGGUUCACACCGCCCCCGCACACGCGGAGAUCGGUGACCCGGCGACC